CCUACGGUGGCAGCAGUGGGGAAUAUUGCACAAUGGGGGAAACCCUGAUGCAGCGACGCCGCGUGAGUGAAGAAGUAAUUCGUUAUGUAAAGCCCUAUCAGCAGGGAAGAAAAUGACGGUACCUGAGUAAGAAGCCCCGACUAACUACGUGCCAGCAGCCGCGGGAAUCCGUAGGGGGCAAGCGUUAUCCGGAUUUACUGGGGGUAAAGGGAGCGUAGAUGGCAGUGCAAGUCUGGAGUGAAAGGCGGGGGCUCAACCCCCGUACUGCUCUGGAAACUGUGCGGCUGGAGUGCAGGAGAGGUACGUGGAAUGCCUGGUGUAGCGGUGAAAUGCAUAGAUAUUAGGAAGAACACCGAUGGCGAAGGCGGCUUACUGGACUGUAACUGACGUUGAGGCUCGAAGGCGUGGGGAGCGAACAGGAUUAGAUACCCUAGUAGUC
This 439-nucleotide ribosomal RNA is filed under the name uncultured bacterium. Its description in RNAcentral is "partial 16S ribosomal RNA". It matches the Rfam family "Bacterial small subunit ribosomal RNA", at positions 338 to 795 of the family's 1533-position model. The record is from RNAcentral.